This 111-nucleotide microRNA precursor is filed under the name Belgica antarctica. RNAcentral describes it as "microRNA MIR158". Lineage: Eukaryota; Metazoa; Arthropoda; Insecta; Diptera; Chironomidae. The record is from RNAcentral.
CCACACCAUAUUUGGCCUUGAGGCCACCACAUUUCUGGCAAAUAUGGGAAAUGGUGUUUGUUCCCAUAUUUGCCAGAAAUGUGGUGGCCUCAAGGCCAAAUAUGGUGUGGA